AUUGAACGCUGGCGGCAGGCCUAACACAUGCAAGUCGAGCGGAUGAAGGGAGCUUGCUCCUGGAUUCAGCGGCGGACGGGUGAGUAAUGCCUAGGAAUCUGCCUGGUUGUGGGGGAUAACGUCAGGAAACGGGCGCUAAUACUGCAUACGUCCUGAGGGUGAAAGUGGGGGAUCUUCGGACCUUAUGCUAUCAGAUGAGCCUAGGUCGGAUUAGCUAGUUGGUGGGGUAAAGGCCUACCAAGGCGACGUUCCGUAACUGGUCUGAGAGGAUGAUCAGUCACACUGGAACUGAGACGCGGUCCAGGCUCCUACGGGAGGCAGCAGUGGGGAAUAUUGGACAAUAGGCGGAAGCCUGAUCCAACCAUGCCGCGUGUGUGAAGAAGGUCUUCGGAUUGUAAAGCACUUUAAGUGGGGAGGAAGGGCAGUAAGUUAAUACCUUGCUGGUUUGACGGUACCAACAGAAUAAGCACCGGCUAACUUCGUG
Molecule: ribosomal RNA, 484 nt
Filed under: uncultured bacterium
Lineage: Bacteria
Description: partial 16S ribosomal RNA
Rfam family: Bacterial small subunit ribosomal RNA
Source: RNAcentral